This 253-nucleotide ribosomal RNA is filed under the name uncultured bacterium. RNAcentral's name for it is "partial 16S ribosomal RNA". It matches the Rfam family "Bacterial small subunit ribosomal RNA", at positions 524 to 776 of the family's 1533-position model. The record is from RNAcentral.
UACGUAGGGGGCGAGCGUUGUCCGGAGUUACUGGGCGUAAAGCGCACGCAGGCGGUCUGCUAAGUUUGGAGUGACAGUUGGUGGCUCAACCACCAAAGUGCUUUGAAAACUGACAGACUUGAGGGCUUCAGAGGGACACGGAAUUCCGGGUGGAGUGGUGAAAUGCGUAGAGAUCCGGAGGAACACCAAAGGCGAAGGCAGUGUCCUGGGGAGUACCUGACGCUCAGGUGCGAAAGCCAGGGGAGCGAACGGG